This 6730-nucleotide long non-coding RNA is filed under the name Sus scrofa (pig). Its description in RNAcentral is "lncRNA (ENSSSCG00055002224.1)". The record is from RNAcentral. Lineage: Eukaryota; Metazoa; Chordata; Mammalia; Artiodactyla; Suidae.
CAUUGCUUUAUCUACAUGAGUCGGGAAGACUGGAGAUAAGAGUGGGAUAGACAUGCAGCCUUGUUUCUGUCGAGCACCAGAAGCCUGCAUCAGGUCCGCUGGACAUCUCCCUUUGGAUGUCUCGUCGAGAGAUUAUUAGUACAACAGGAGACGAGGAGCUAAAGGUAAGGCAGACCCUAUGUAUUUUUCUCCUCGUCUCUGCUUCUCAGACUUGUCCUUUUGGAGAGCAGUGAUAAAGCAGAUGGAUUUAGUUUUUAUGUCAGUCAUCAUCAGCUGGGUGGAAGUUUUUGUGUGAAAGAAAAGGCUAGCAUUAAAUUGAUUGAUGGUUCAUUUUUCCUAUUUGCUCCUUGGUCAUUGGAGUGACACCAGGAGGGCUGUCUCGUUAGAGGAGUGUGAGACAAUGGCUCUGACACACACAGAAUUCAUCGCUUGUAAUUGAUCCCUGGAAAUAGCAUAGUCACACAUCGUCCCCAAUAAAUUUGCCUGCUGAACUACUUGGGACAAUCUACCCUGCACUUUUUUCAAAGGCUAUAAGAAAUUAACAGCAUGUAAUCUCACAAGGAAUAUUUGUCAUCGAAUUUCUCCAACAAAUGGGAGAUGACAAAUAUUUCACAUGUGGAUUAAUAAUUUCACCUUUGAGUUUUCUUCAUUUCCGGUCACAACCAGGCCAUACAAGAUGUACAAAUGUGUGAUUUCAGGCACAGCUGUGGUUGUACAAGGCACAGGUGUUGUGUCCUAGCAGACUUUAGCCUUAGAUCCUAUUGUUGUUAUCACUCCCCUUAUCAAAACAUCCAGGGUUUUUGCCCUAGCAGGUGAUGCUCCAAGAAGGAAGGAAGAAAUAAUUCUCCAACUGGACCCACUAUUGUCCACCAGGGUUUACUUUCCCCUGGGGACUUGCUCAUAGAAAAUUCCUCUGCCACCAGCCUGCCCCCAGAAAUGGCUGCAGCCCCUUGAGUGCUCCAACACAAGUGGGGACAAAAUCUUCUGUCUCUGGCUGUCCUUAGCACAGAUAAGCCUGGCUGGACCUGUCAGAGAAAAUUGAAGAACAAAAGGAGCACACAGGAGGGAUAAACACAAAGAAGGCAAGAAUGAUAAAAUGCUCUGCUUAGAAAGUGCAAAUUUCUGAACCUGCCUGAGCCACCGAGCUCUGAAGGCUCAAGGGCCCUUCUCUUUCUAUAAUUUUCUCCUGAGGAUGAUGCUAUGCUUAACCUGAAAAGAGAGCAGGGCGCCUGACUUCCUGGCUUCUCAGCAAUGGUGUCACUAGUUAUAGAUGCCUCUCCGCAGAAAGUCUGAGUUCUCCUUUUGUUCUUCUCAUGCAGACAGUAUCAAAGCAGCUCACCCUUCUUCCAGCAGGAAACGUGAAUGUGUGAAAAGAGCGACCAUUUGUUAGACUCUGUUUCUGGCCCAGCAUCAUGAUGUUUCUUAGGGUAAGGGGCAGGGGAGGAUGGAGAGGCAAUAGUGAAGAAACUGUUUUGUGAUUCAGAGGAAAGAGCAAGGUGACAAAAAAAAAAAAGGACCAUGAUUUAAUUUUAAUUAAAAUUAAAUAGGCAUACAUGACUGGUGGUUAAUGUUUUAGUGAAGCUCAAGAGACUAAGCGUGGCAGGGGCCCAGCAGAAAGUAGGUCCAGCAUCUCUGCCGCAAAGGCAAAGUCAUCCCCCGUCCUGCCCUGCCCCGCUCCACCCCGCCUGCUGGUCAAGGCCCCUCUGUCUCCCUCCUCCUGAAAGAGCACUGGACUAGAGUGUAGGUCAAGAGUGGCAAUGAUUUGGCUGUUGGCUAGUGGCAUCCUGCCCUAGCCUGGCUGUUUGUGCCCACAACCACCCACCAGCCUGAAGGAUCAGGUUGCUGCUUUGAUUUAGCCUCUCUAUUGCCACUCAGCCCGCACCUUUGCUGUCUCACCCUCCUGUACAGUGAGGCCUUUCCCUGUCCAUUUGAUUCCUAUUAGAGAACCAGGCAUUUCCCCGGUGACGGUGGAAAUAAGGUAUUCCAGGUGCACGCUGUAAGGAAGGCGCAUGCGCGCAUAUGCAUGCGCACACGCAUGCGCCGUCUAGACCAAGGCGGGCACCUGUUCCAUCCCAGGGAGUAGAGGCGGCCACAUUCCCAAGGGGUUCUGUUACAGGCGGCCACAGGCUCCAAAGCCCAGAGCUGAUUCUGCUCUGGCUCCACUUCUUUCCUCUGCUGUCUGCUUAGUAAAGGAGCAAAGGCCAGGCCCAAGGCCCGCAGGUCACUAUAGAGUAUGGUGACCCCUAAGAAAACAAGAUCAACCGUCUUCAGGGCCCAUCCCCAACCUGCAAGGGGUCCCUGAGUUUACUAGUUAUUUGGGGUCACAAAGAUCCCAAGCAAUUUGCACAGUCUCCUUGCUGCCACUCCUCUCCUAACCAGAAGCAACCAGGGAGCGAGACGCCACUUCACAUGGGACAAAGGUGGAUGUGAGAUGUGCAAGACCAGACCCUGAGGAAGGGCCACGGUGACCCAAGGGCUGGGCCCUUCAGCCUAAACUUACCUCUAGACUGAAAGGUGAUAGGUCCCAGGCGGAGCCCAGAGGGAGGGGGUGGGCAGCUGAGAUGGAGGCCAGGCUGGAAGGACUGGAGGGGAGCCAACACUGGUGUGUCUGCACACAGGAGCUGGGAGAGUCUCCCUAGAGCCUCAGAGCUCUUCCAGCAAAAGGUAAAGUUUGAAACCCCCCCACACACACACUCAGAGGAGUCCAGCCCUCCUGCAGCGCUCUUACACCCCAUCCCUGCAACCUGCAACUUGGCCUCCACCCCUUCCCCACACUCUGCCCCUACUAUCCGACAGAGUUUUGAGCCAGGGCCGUAGGGGCCCUGAAGGGAGGCCGGUCUUCUCUUUCACCUUGGUUCCUGGGACGCGCUGCGUCAUCAUGGCAGAGGCCAAGAGCUAGAUCCCGUGCCCGGGAUGCAGACUGAGCAGAAAGGGUGGAGGAGGCCGAGCAUGGAGUUGUGGACCAUCUCUCACCCUGCCCAGAGCCCCCAGCACCCCAGUUCUUGCCAUGUGCCCUCUUGUGGGUGCUGAUGGGGCGUGGUGAGAGAUGCAGUGCACAGCCACAGCCUCCUCUCACCAGACCCUGGGACUCACCCUCUGCCCCCCACUCUCAGACAUCUGUUGAAUCCCUGACUUCAAGCCUCACAUGGUGAAGCUCCUCCCUGUGGAAAUAAAGGGUUCAAGAAGGAUCUGGAAGGAGACAGAAACUCAGCUCAGCUGGCACAUCAAGGUCAGGGGCCUCACCUCUCCUCAUUUUAAAGAGAAAGAUCUGUAAGCAGAGGAGAGAAGCCAACCGAGUGACCCCUGAGUGGAAAUCAGGGCAGAAAUCUUUUGCAACAGAAUCCCCAUGGGAAACAUGACAAAAUUAGCAACAGGAAUGAGGUCUCCCUCGGAGGAUACAAGAAUCACUGGGUUGAAAAUAACCACAAGGUCAUCUAGUUCAGCUGCCACCACUUGCCUGAAUUUUUCCAGAAAUUUUUGGACAAGCAGUCAUCCAGCCUCAUCCAGCAGCUCAGUACUCAGCAGCCCCCUCCUGAUGGCGGGCAAGGUUUUAAAGGCCCCUGGGGCUCUCGUGCUUCCAGGGGCAGCUCGCAGAGGGCAGCGGGCAGCAGGCAGCACACAGGGGCCCGGGUCCAGCGCUUCCCUCCCUCCGGCUGCUGUGUUUAUACUCCAUUGAUUCACAGCAAAGACUCUUGGCAAGAUCAAGAUUUCUUUACACCGCUUGUGUGGCUGCUUUAGUGAACCAGCCUUAAAACAUGCUCCCGAGGAGGUCAGUUUUUGGUUAUCGUUGGCUUUAAUUCCUGGAAAAGUUCUGGAAAUCACGAUUUCAGAACCAGAAAGAGCUUUGGCAUCUCAUCCAGCCACCUCACAUGACUCGUGAGAACCGAAGGGAGCCUGGAGCCUAGGGUGGAAUUCAGACCUUAUUCCCCACUGUUCCCCCCAGUGCCCUCUGAGCUGCAGUCCCAGUGGCUCUGGGACCCUCCAGAAGGUGCUCAGUGGCCUCUCUAGGGUCUCGUGUUACCUGAUCCACUGCAGCCCUGGCCCUGUGGACUCCUCCCCGGUUCUCAGCUCCUCCCUUGGUCUUUGCAGCCCCAUUCCCGGCUAGUAGGCUGGGGAAAGGGUGUGCAGUGUCCAUGCCUUUUCAGUGCCUCGCUUUCCCAUGUCUCCACCUGUGCACAAGCCUAGAAGCGCUCCAAACUCUCUCCUUUUGGAUUUUUUUAAUGGAGGCUUCAUUGUAUUGGCUGAUUAAAUCAUCAGCCGCUGGUGAUUGAAUGUAAUCUCCAGCCCUCCCAGGAGACUGGGGUUUGUGCAGCCACUCCUUGACCACUGCCCCCUCCAACCAUUUCAGCCACUAAGUCUUAUUCCCCUUAAAAAUAGUCGUGCUUGUUUGGGCAGGUUCUCUCCACGGAUUGAGUCUUUCACAGCUACAUUUUUUGAUCAGUAUCUACCCUUUGCUUCCACUUCAUCCCCUUCCCUCCAGCUGUCACCACAGUUUUUAUCUGUCUUACGCCCCAGCGCUCCCCUGGACCUGCUCUCACCAGCGGACUUCACCUUCCUAAUUCCAGUGUUUACUUUUAGUCCCUGCCUUGCUUGAUGGCCUCAUAAUGUUUGGCACAGCUGACUGUACCCUCCCUUGUAAAAUUCUCCUUUCGCUUGGGUUCCUCGACCCGAUGUUUUUCUCCUAACUUCCGAGUAGGCUCUUUUGCCUACGUGACCCAGGCCUUGAAAUCCUGGAGUCACGUGGCACUCUGUCCCGGAGCUCCUUCCUGAGUCAGCCCACCUCUUUCCUCGUGAUCCCAUCCGCCCCGGUGACUUGGCUCGCCAUCUGUCUGUAAACGAAUGGCCCUUUAAUCUGUGGCACCUGCUCAGACUUGCUCCUGAGCCAGAAUGUCACCACGGGAUGUUGCAUAUGUAUAGCUCUCUGACCCUCGAUGUGUCAGAAGCUGACUCAGAACCUUCUCCCUGGUCUCACCGUCACCACCCAUCACUCUGCAUCCCAGGAAACAGCUUACACUUGCUAUUCAAGGCAGACCCUGAGGGCCUUGAACCCCUUUCCCUUCUUAACCACCCCACUCCUCUUCUAAUAGGCUCUAAGGUCAUGUCCUUCUCUCUAAUGCAGCUGUCCCAGGCUCUGACCAUCACUUCUUAUUUGCAUGUAGCAGACACCUCUAACCACACCUCCCUGUGUCCACUCUUGACUUCUUCCAAUCCAUUCUCAUGUUGCAGCCAGAGAGGAUUUUACAAGGCGCACAUGGGAUUAUGUCACCUGACUGUUUCAAAGCCUUCAAUGGUCCCCAUGUUUAGGAUGGCACCCCAAACCUCAACAUGGCUGGAUUUCUGUCUCACAAUGCUUUUUCUCAAACACAGCUCUCCAGCUUAAUUCAACACUUUCAUUUCUUCCAAUGCCUCCACUCUUUUUCAUGUCUAAUUAGUUAGCAUUCCCUGCCCAUUAGAUUUAAAUUUAAAGACCCAUGACGUUAUGAAUCUGUUUUAUUCACCACUAUACAUAUAUAGCAAUUAGCACAAUGUCUGACAAAUAUUUGGAAACUACAUGAUUUAUUUAUUCAGAAAAUAGUUUUUAAAUGCCUGGUCUGUGUCAAGCUCCAUUCUUGAUUCUUGGUGAUGUGGAAAUAUUUUUUUUAAAAGAGAGACAAAACCCUUUGCCCUUAAGGAGUUAUAUUCUACUAGAGAGAGAGAAACACAAUGAGAAGAAUAGGUGGUAUAUCUGAUGGUGAUAACUGCCAAAGAAAAAAAUUAAGUAGGGAAGGAGGGGGGAUAAAGAAAGAAAGGAGGCAGACAGAAGGAGAGAUGGAGAGACAGAGGGAAGGAGAGAUGGAGAGACAGAGGGAAGCAAGCAGUUAUUUGGGGGAAGAACAUUCCAACAAGGAGAGUGGCAAGUUCAAAGGUCCUGGAUGGAUAUAUGCCUUCAGAGUUCAUGGCCAGAAAGAAGGUCAGUAUGACUAGAGAGAAUGAGGCAGGGAGAGCAGUGGAAGAUCAGUGUGGAGACUCGAAGGGCUCCCUGAUGCAGGGCUGGUGGUCCUGAGGGAGCUGUCGCCGUGUCUGCAACGCGGAGCUGCUGGAGCGCUCUGGGUAGAGGGGUGCUGUGGCAGGACGAGGAUUUCAGCGGUCUCACUCAGCAUGCCAGCAUGCUCUGUUGGAAACAAACUGAACAGGAGUAAAGAUGGGAGCAAAAGUGCCUGGUAGGAGGCUGCUGCCGCCACCCAGGUGAUCCAUAAUGGCAGCUGCAACCAGGGUGGUAGCAGAGAGGUUGAAUCCUUUACACAUCGUGAAGGUAGAGGUGACACAGUUUCCUGAUGAUCGGAAUGUAGCAUUUACGAGAAAGAGGAAUCGAGAACGAUUCCAACGGUAACCCUAAGUUUGGUUUCGGAAUCUUGGAAUCUGUUUCUGUUUUGUAAGUUCUGUGGUAUCAAAUGCCACGGGUUAGUGAUGUCAUGUUACUUGUUUUUCCAAGUGGGAAAUGAGGGGAGAGAAAUAAUUUGGGAGGUUGGGACUAACAUAUACACACUGUGAUAUAUAAAAUAGAUAAGUAACAAGGACCUACUUCCCAGCACAGGGAAAUCUAUUCAAUGAUGUACAGGGGAAAAGAGACUGAAAAGGAAUGAUUUUAUGUAAGUGUGUGUGUGUGUGUGUGUGUGUGUGUGUGUGUGAUUCACUUUGCUGUGCACCUGAAACUAACACAACAUUGUAAGUCAAUUACACUCCAAUAAAA